This 253-nucleotide ribosomal RNA is filed under the name uncultured bacterium. RNAcentral describes it as "partial 16S ribosomal RNA". It matches the Rfam family "Bacterial small subunit ribosomal RNA", at positions 524 to 776 of the family's 1533-position model. The record is from RNAcentral.
UACGUAGGGGGCUAGCGUUGUCCGGAAUCAUUGGGCGUAAAGAGCGUGUAGGCGGCCCGGUAAGUCCGCUGUGAAAGUCGGGGGCUCAACCCUCGAAUGCCGGUGGAUACUGUCGGGCUAGAGUGCGGAAGAGGCGAGUGGAAUUCCUGGUGUAGCGGUGGAAUGCGCAGAUAUCAGGAGGAACACCAAUAGCGAAGGCAGCUCGCUGGGACGGUACUGACGCUAAGGCGCGAAAGCGUGGGGAGCGAACAGG